RNAcentral lists this non-coding RNA (179 nucleotides) under Candidatus Schekmanbacteria bacterium RBG_13_48_7. RNAcentral describes it as "6S RNA". It matches the Rfam family "6S / SsrS RNA". Rfam says of the family: E. coli 6S RNA was the first non coding RNA to be sequenced, but its function was unknown until recently. It consists of 184 nucleotides that fold into an extended hairpin structure with a large single-stranded internal bulge. The 6S RNA specifically associates with RNA polymerase holoenzyme containing the sigma70 specificity factor. The record is from RNAcentral. Lineage: Bacteria; Candidatus Schekmaniibacteriota.
AAGUCCCUGCUGGGUUUGUGAUGAGAAAUGUUUUUUUGAGCCAACACUCAUAAAAAGGGAUUCUAUGUUUGGAAGCAACGUACAUGCCCAUGAUUAUCGGGAAGUAUUAACCUUGCAACAAGACACCCACCUGUUUUUCAGGUUCAUAUAACUUUUCACACGGCCUGAGCGGGGAAUUU